RNAcentral lists this ribosomal RNA (468 nucleotides) under uncultured bacterium. RNAcentral's name for it is "partial 16S ribosomal RNA". It matches the Rfam family "Bacterial small subunit ribosomal RNA", at positions 28 to 507 of the family's 1533-position model. The record is from RNAcentral.
GACGAACGCUGGCGGCGUGCUUAACACAUGCAAGUCGAACGGAAAGGCCCUGCUUUUGUGGGGUGCUCGAGUGGCGAACGGGUGAGUAACACGUGAGUAACCUGCCCUUGACUUUGGGAUAACUUCAGGAAACUGGGGCUAAUACCGGAUAGGAGCUCCUGCUGCAUGGUGGGGGUUGGAAAGUUUCGGCGGUUGGGGAUGGACUCGCGGCUUACCAGCUUGUUGGUGGGGUAGUGGCUUACCAAGGCUUUGACGGGUAGCCGGCCUGAGAGGGUGACCGGCCACAUUGGGACUGAGAGACGGCCCAGACUCCUACGGGAGGCAGCAGUGGGGAAUAUUGCACGAUGGGUGGAAGCCUGAUGCAGCAACGCCGCGUGCGGGAUGACGGCCUUCGGGUUGUAAACCGCUUUCGCCUGUGACGAAGCGUGAGUGACGGUAAUGGGUAAAGAAGCACCGGCUAACUACGUG